This 481-nucleotide ribosomal RNA is filed under the name uncultured bacterium. Its description in RNAcentral is "partial 16S ribosomal RNA". It matches the Rfam family "Bacterial small subunit ribosomal RNA", at positions 28 to 507 of the family's 1533-position model. The record is from RNAcentral.
GAUGAACGCUGGCGGCGUGCUUAACACAUGCAAGUCGAACGAAGCAUUUAGGACAGAUUACUUCGGUUUGAAGUUCUUUAUGACUGAGUGGCGGACGGGUGAGUAACGCGUGGGUAACCUGCCUUGUACUGGGGGAUAGCAGCUGGAAACGGCUGGUAAUACCGCAUAAGCGCACAAUGUUGCAUGACAUGGUGUGAAAAACUCCGGUGGUAUAAGAUGGACCCGCGUCUGAUUAGCUAGUUGGUGAGAUAACAGCCCACCAAGGCGACGAUCAGUAGCCGACCUGAGAGGGUGACCGGCCACAUUGGGACUGAGACACGGCCCAGACUCCUACGGGAGGCAGCAGUGGGGAAUAUUGCACAAUGGAGGAAACUCUGAUGCAGCGACGCCGCGUGAGUGAAGAAGUAAUUCGUUAUGUAAAGCUCUAUCAGCAGGGAAGAUAGUGACGGUACCUGACUAAGAAGCGCCGGCUAAAUACGUG